This 72-nucleotide transfer RNA is filed under the name Argentina striata (striated argentine). Its description in RNAcentral is "tRNA-Gly". It matches the Rfam family "tRNA". From Rfam's summary of the family: Transfer RNA (tRNA) molecules are approximately 80 nucleotides in length. Their secondary structure includes four short double-helical elements and three loops (D, anti-codon, and T loops). The record is from RNAcentral. RNAcentral also lists the same sequence under 1 other name. Lineage: Eukaryota; Metazoa; Chordata; Actinopteri; Argentiniformes; Argentinidae.
AUCUUCCUAGUAUGAACGUUAAUACAAGUGACUUCCAAUCACCCAAUCUUGGUUAAACCCCAAGGGAAGAUA